Molecule: ribosomal RNA, 460 nt
Filed under: uncultured bacterium
Lineage: Bacteria
Description: partial 16S ribosomal RNA
Rfam family: Bacterial small subunit ribosomal RNA
Source: RNAcentral
CCUACGGGUGGCAGCAGUGAGGAAUAUUGGUCAAUGGACGCAAGCCUGAACCAGCCAUGCCGCGUGCAGGAUGACUGCCCUACGGGUUGUAAACUUCUUUUAUACAGGAAUAAAGUGAGGCACGUGUGCCUUUUUGUAAGUACUUUAUGAAUAAGGAUCGGCUAACUCCGUGCCAGCAGCCGCGGUAAUACGGAGGAUUCGAGCGUUAUCCGGAUUUAUUGGGUUUAAAGGGUGCGUAGAUGGGUUGUUAAGUCAGUUGUGAAAGUUUGCGGCUCAACCGUAAAAUUGCCACUGAUACUGGCAGUCUAGAGUAUAGUUGAGGUAGGCGGAAUGCGUGGUGUAGCGGUGAAAUGCUUAGAUAUCACGAAGAACUCCGAUUGCGAAGGCAGCUUACUAAACUGCCACUGACAUUGAUGCUCGAAAGUGUGGGGAGCAAACAGGAUUAGAUACCCGGGUAGUC